CUUGCUCUUUUCCAAAGUCAAGAUUGUGAGCCAGGGACAAGGCUCUGGGAGGCUUCGUCCACUCACAUUAAAGCUAGAUUUGCUGGCAUCAUCCAUCAGGGGAUGGGAAUAACUAUUUUGUGCUUGUCAGACAGUAUGACUAAUUUUUGCACUCAUGAGCAAGUUCACAGACUGGGCCUUAGGCCUCUACCUGCAGGCUGGAUGUCCAGUCCCCAUGCCUCCUCUUGUUGGCCUGUGCAGCGCCUGCAGAGGAGACAGAACUCCAAAGGAAUGGCUUUCUGUCUAAGUCUCUUGCCCCAUGAUGGAGUUGGAAAGAGAGGGCAUCUCCUGGCUCAGAGUUGGUGUGAUGGUGCCUUCUAUGCUGUGCCCAGUGCAGCUGGCACUCAGUCUACAACGUCCUCAGGAUGGUGUGGCUGUUCUAACCAAGAUGCCAGGCUCAGGGGUCUGUGGGGCUUCAGGAGAAAAUGCAUAAGCCAAGUUGCCAGGCUGGGUGGUAGGAACUUGUAGUUUAUGGCUUGUUCUGAGCGGGGCACUGCACCCGGAAGCAGCCCUGCCACUGCAGAUGUGGA
Octodon degus (degu) is the source of this 569-nucleotide long non-coding RNA. RefSeq lists it as uncharacterized. The record is from RefSeq and is a predicted model, not a curated record. NCBI's taxonomy places the organism in Eukaryota, Metazoa, Chordata, Mammalia, Rodentia, Octodontidae. The transcript is spliced from 3 exons.